ACUCUCUUCCCAAGUAGGAGAAAAGGGACGCUGAGCGAAACGGACUCAAGAGAGAGCCCUUGGCUAGCGGACAGGGCUAGGAGCAAAGCGGUUGCCCCCGGAAGGGGAACUCUACCCUCUGAGCUUAGAGUGCCCACACUUGGAUUGAUCUCUAAUAAUAAAGUAAACAAAGCUAAUACUUAGUGUUUACCACGUGCUCAUUCCUGGCCCAGAGCAGCUCUUUGAGCAUCAUUAGGUUUUAGAGACUGACAGAGUUUGGAUUUGAACCCACUUGCACAGUCUCUGCUCCAUUUCGCUCCCGCUUUGCCGGUUUAGUCAGCAGGGUCAAAGGAACCUAAGAAAACCAGGGCAGGGCCCAUAGACAAGCAGACCAGGGGAUGGGGCCGGCAGCGCUUGUCCUCGCUUCACGAUCUUCAGCACAUGCAUUCCAUGCCCGGACACUCAGUACCUGCCAGGCUCUGAUCUGCGACCAAGGACACCCAGAUAAGGAGAAGUUGCAAAGCCCUUAGAACAACGCCUGGAAGGUCGUUCGUGUCACGGAGCUGUGUGCUUUGCUGCUCACCACACACCGUCAACCUGUGGAGCUGCUUGAGGGGCGAGAGAGACCCAGAGGAACAAGAUCAGUUCCCGGCUAAGUGCAAGGGAGCGCAGCAGGUCACCCACCCUUCGACUUCAGCAAGGCCCAGGGCUGUGAGAGCACAGGGACUUCCGGAGGCUGCACUUGGACCAGCCCAGCUUUAG
Molecule: long non-coding RNA, 741 nt
Filed under: Chinchilla lanigera (long-tailed chinchilla)
Lineage: Eukaryota; Metazoa; Chordata; Mammalia; Rodentia; Chinchillidae
Description: lncRNA (ENSCLAG00000025898.1)
Source: RNAcentral